AACUAACGCUGGCGGCGUGCCUAACACAUGCAAGUCGUACGAGAAAGUUGGCUUCGGCCGAUGAGUAAAGUGGCGCACGGGUGAGUAACGCGUGGAUAAUCUACCUUUUAGUUUGGAAUAACGUACCGAAAGGUGCGCUAAUACCGGAUAAUGCUGCACAACUACUGUUGUGUCGUCAAAGAAGGCUUCUGUUUACAUGCUUUUGCUGAAAGAUGAGUCCGCGUACCAUUAGCUAGUUGGUAGGGUAAUGGCCUACCAAGGCUACGAUGGUUAGCUGGUCUGAGAGGAUGAUCAGCCACACUGGAACUGAGACACGGUCCAGACUCCUACGGGAGGCAGCAGUGAGGAAUAUUGCGCAAUGGGGGCAACCCUGACGCAGCAACGCCGCGUGAGUGAGGAAGGUUUUCGGACCGUAAAGCUCUGUCGAGCGGGAAGAAAUGCAUGGUGGCUAAUAUCCAUCAUGCUUGACGGUACCGCUAAAGGAAGCACCGGCUAACUCCGUG
This 503-nucleotide ribosomal RNA is filed under the name uncultured bacterium. Its description in RNAcentral is "bacterial SSU rRNA". It matches the Rfam family "Bacterial small subunit ribosomal RNA", at positions 29 to 507 of the family's 1533-position model. The record is from RNAcentral.